CGGAUUGUAGUCUGCAACUCGACUACAUGAAGCUGGAAUCGCUAGUAAUCGCGAAUCAGAAUGUCGCGGUGAAUACGUUCCCGGGUCUUGUACACACCGCCCGUCACACCAUGGGAGUCAGUAACGCCCGAAGCCGGUGACCCAACCAAACGGAGGGAGCCGUCGAAGGUGGGACCGAUAACUGGGGUGAAGUCGUAACAAGGUAAC
RNAcentral lists this ribosomal RNA (207 nucleotides) under uncultured bacterium. RNAcentral's name for it is "partial 16S ribosomal RNA". It matches the Rfam family "Bacterial small subunit ribosomal RNA", at positions 1294 to 1500 of the family's 1533-position model. The record is from RNAcentral.